CGAAGGAUGCAAGCGUUAUCCGGAUUUAUGGGUUUAAAGGGAGCGUAGGCGGUCUUAUAAGUCAGUGGUGAAAUCUCGUUGCUUAACAACGACCGUGCCAUUGAUACUGUAGGACUUGAGUACAGUUGCCGUUGGCGGAAUGUGUCAUGUAGCGGUGAAAUGCAUAGAUAUGACACAGAACACCGAUUGCGAAGGCAGCUGACGAAACUGUAACUGACGCUGAGGCUCGAAAGCGUGGGGAUCAAACAGGAUUAGAUACCCUGGUAGUCCACGCCCUAAACUAUGAUUACUCGCUGUCGGCGAUAUACAGUCGGUAGCUAAGCGAAAGCGUUAAGUAAUCCACCUGGGGAGUACGCCCGCAAGGGUG
RNAcentral lists this ribosomal RNA (367 nucleotides) under uncultured organism. Its description in RNAcentral is "bacterial SSU rRNA". It matches the Rfam family "Bacterial small subunit ribosomal RNA", at positions 526 to 896 of the family's 1533-position model. The record is from RNAcentral.